UACGUAGGGUGCAAGCGUUAAUCGGAAUUACUGGGCGUAAAGGGCGCGUAGGCGGUUAUUUAAGUUGGAUGUGAAAUCCCUGGGCUUAACCUAGGAACUGCAUUCAAUACUGGAUAACUAGAGUGCAGUAGAGGGUAGUGGAAUUUCCGGUGUAGCGGUGAAAUGCGUAGAUAUGCGGAGGAACACCGAUGGCGAAGGC
This 199-nucleotide ribosomal RNA is filed under the name uncultured prokaryote. Its description in RNAcentral is "partial 16S ribosomal RNA". It matches the Rfam family "Bacterial small subunit ribosomal RNA", at positions 524 to 722 of the family's 1533-position model. The record is from RNAcentral.